This is a non-coding RNA of Pelobates cultripes (western spadefoot toad), 204 nucleotides long. Lineage: Eukaryota; Metazoa; Chordata; Amphibia; Anura; Pelobatidae. The record is from the annotation of a GenBank genome assembly.
UGAGAUGUUAUUCAUUUAAUUUUUCCAGCUUGCCUGGUGAGAAUCGUUUAUCAAGCUUGCUUGUAUUGUGUAAUGUUUUGCAGGCUGGUUAAUAUUUACUCAAGACCCAACAUAAAUUUUACAACAGCUUCCUGUAACGGCAAAUGAUUAAUUUUCACAUCUGUGUGUGUUUCUACAAAACGUUCAUCAUUCACAUAUUCAGGA